RNAcentral lists this ribosomal RNA (478 nucleotides) under uncultured bacterium. RNAcentral describes it as "partial 16S ribosomal RNA". It matches the Rfam family "Bacterial small subunit ribosomal RNA", at positions 28 to 523 of the family's 1533-position model. The record is from RNAcentral.
GACGAACGCUGGCGGCGUGCUUAACACAUGCAAGUCGAACGGUAAGGCCCUUCGGGGUACACGAGUGGCGAACGGGUGAGUAACACGUGGGUGAUCUGCCCUGCACUUCGGGAUAAGCCUGGGAAACUGGGUCUAAUACCGGAUAGGACCACUGCCUGCAUGGGUGGUGGUGGAAAGCUUUUGCGGGGUGGGAUGGGCCCGCGGCCUAUCAGCUUGUUGGUGGGGUGAUGGCCUACCGAGGCGACGACGGGUAGCCGGCCUGAGAGGGUGACCGGCCACACUGGGACUGAGAUACGGCCCAGACUCCUACGGGAGGCAGCAGUGGGGAAUAUUGCACAAUGGGCGCAAGCCUGAUGCAGCGACGCCGCGUGAGGGAUGACGGCCUUCGGGUUGUAAACCUCUUUCAGCACCGACGAAGCGCAAGUGACGGUAGGUGCAGAAGAAGGACCGGCCAACUACGUGCCAGCCGCCGCCGUAA